UACGGGGGGGGCAAGCGUUGUUCGGAAUUACUGGGCGUAAAGGGUUCGUAGGUGGCCACCUAAGUCAGACGUGAAAUCCCUCAGCUUAACUGGGGAACUGCGUCUGAUACUGGGUGGCUUGAGUGCAGGAGAGGAAUGCGGAAUUCCAGGUGUAGCGGUGAAAUGCGUAGAUAUCUGGAGGAACACCGGUGGCGAAGGCGGCAUUCUGGACUGUAACUGACACUGAGGAACGAAAGCCAGGGUAGCAAACGGG
This 253-nucleotide ribosomal RNA is filed under the name uncultured bacterium. RNAcentral describes it as "partial 16S ribosomal RNA". It matches the Rfam family "Bacterial small subunit ribosomal RNA", at positions 524 to 776 of the family's 1533-position model. The record is from RNAcentral.